GGUCAGUGGUCACCUUUCGUCCCCCUCCAUCAGGCCUCGGGGGGUUGCGAUAAGCCUGGCGCCGUGGGACCGACUCUUUGUGAAACAAGGCAACCCCCUGUGGUAAAUUACAGCAUUGGAUCCCGCCCCAGCCUCCCCGUGAGCCUGCGUCUCCUCAGCAUCCUGGGAGAGAAGCACGUACCCCCCCGGGAGCACCCUAUCCCUCCUACAUCAGUUGCAACCGAAUUUGUUUUAUUGUUUAAUUCUGACUUUUUUAAGCCUCCUGGGUCACUCCUAAGGCUUCUCUUCUCUCAUGGGAAAGGUCCCACCUCCACACACGACGCGCUUGGUUCAAAUCAUACACAGCACGGAGAGGAUUGCUUAGUCUCACGACGUUUAACUGACCCCGAGAUCAAGACGUACAGGUGGUGCGCAGAUUUGCACAAACAUUUCAAAGCUUUCCAAGAAGCUGGAGCGCAAAUUGAGGCGUGUGCCGCACUCACAUUCUUUACACGCAGGUGUCACCCUUGGUCACUUCCCCUCUGCUGCGGUGGACAUACCGCUCAUACGCUGGGAGAGCCAAAGGGGACCAUCCGGAGCUUGGCCGACUCUCCCUUUCACAGCAACGUCCGGGACGAGACCCCGGAGCGGUCUGGCGUCCUCUCAAGAGCGCCAGGCUUCCCAAAUCCACCCCCCACAGAGCGCCCUGACGCCAUACGACACCCGAGUCUGGAUUACAGUCUCCAUUUUCAGCACUGGGCCUCAAAGUGCUCCCCCCUCUCCGGCAUCGCGGCCCCCGGGCUUUGAUCCCAUCCAGCACCGGUGCAGUAGGCCCAGAGUGGUGCUGACAGCUGGCCGACCAUAACGUCACUGCACUCGCCUUCUGCAACAUGUCCAGUGUUGUCACAGAAUCUCCACGGAAA
RNAcentral lists this long non-coding RNA (902 nucleotides) under Scleropages formosus (Asian bonytongue). RNAcentral's name for it is "lncRNA (ENSSFOG00015031647.1)". Lineage: Eukaryota; Metazoa; Chordata; Actinopteri; Osteoglossiformes; Osteoglossidae. The record is from RNAcentral.